Molecule: non-coding RNA, 2414 nt
Organism: Zootermopsis nevadensis
Lineage: Eukaryota; Metazoa; Arthropoda; Insecta; Blattodea; Termopsidae
Source: RefSeq, a predicted model, not a curated record
GGACAGUCGUGUGGAAGUGAGCGAAGCAUUACGAGGGCUGUGGGUCAACUACGGCUGUUCCACUGUCUUCGUUCCCGCCCCUCCGUUUGUUGCAGACGCCGGGUCGUUGUCAGAGGUCUGUGCAGAAGAAUGGGUGGAAUCUGCCUUCGGAUCGGUGGGAUUGAAACAAACUUUCUCUUUCCUGAUCAAUACACCUGAUUCUCUAAAACCGGUAACAAACACAGGCUAACAGUUUAAACCUUGAACAAUCACAAAGAGAAUAUUACGUACCACGUCACCUUAGAGUAUAAUGUACAUUACAAUGUAUUCGGGACUGUAAUGAGGAAGAUGGUGAACAUGUGAACCAUUAAAUGAUAGAAAAGCAUGGCCUAUGAUUUUCAUGUUGGACCAUAAUAGUCUAAUCGCAGUGUCGUCUAGCGUUAAUGUUUUAUUUCUUGGUUUAUUUAACAACGUUUCAACAGAUGAUCGUAUUAUAUAGUCAAUAUGAGUAAUCAGAGGAUGAUUAUGAAUAUUAAUUGAUAAUAGUGUGGGUAGGAGUGUCGAUCAUUUGACUGGAUGGUCAAGAUAUUUUGAAAUGGAUUUUAUUGGCUCUACAUACGAUCCAAUAAUGUUUCGCGGUGAUGGUGAUGAACAUGCGUUUCCAUAACAACAGAUAACUACAUUAUAAUCGAAUGCUAAGGGAGGACUUAAUAGUGAUUAUAUCUUAAAAAUGCUGGAACAACACUUUAAACUGUGUCAAUACUGCCCCUGUUUUAAAAUUCAUAUGAAUUCAUAAGAUUAAAUUCAAGCUAGUGAAAGUAAACUUACUUCUGAAAUCUCCGACAUUCACACAAAUGCUAUUAUUUGUUGUUCAUUUUGCAUCCACCUCUUACAUAAAUUUUAUUCUGUGUUACUUGCCCUUUAAAUUCCAAAAUCUUAUCGCCAGAGUAGUCAAUAAAUUGACAGCAAUGUCUUUAGAGUUCUUUCUACUAAUGAGAUUUUGCAUGCUAAUAGCCUGUACAAAACAAAACCACAUCGUAAGUCAAAAACAUUUAUCUCCUCAUUUAUUUAACCUGCCCAGCUUGAAACUACAGGUUUAGCCUCUCUUACUAAGCAUUAACAGCUUGUCGUUCUAAAGAGUUGCUAUAUCUUCAAAUAGCAAUGUUAAAAUGAUACUUUUAUCAUUAGGGAUAAAUCAACCCACGUUCUAAGUUAUUUUUAACAGAACUGAGAUGUACGAUGGAAGUAAAGUAAAACACGUACAUUAAGAAGUAAUGUACAGUCCUUGUGUUGAAGCAUGUUAAAGUAUGUAGAACACAAAUAUUGCAUCUCGUUUUGAAGUGCAAUUCUGUUCGUAUGAUACGGAGUUCAGUUAAAACGUGUCUGGGUCAUUUUAUGUGUUAACAAGUUGUCACUUGAAAUUUAUAGCUGCUUGUAUUUUUCUCAAACUACAUAGAUAUGAGUAGUUUUUAUACAUAACAACAUUUGAAACGUGAAAUAUACAGAGUCCUUCACAGCUGCAUGCCAAAAGUAUAUCUACGUAUUAUAUCCUAAACAGGAAAGCAAUGUAUAUAUGCCUAUAUAGGACUUAAUGACUUAGUUAUGAAAGUACCCGAUCUCAUUUUAAGAAACUGUGUAAUACUAACAACCAAUAAGAAGACUUCUUAUUUUGAUAAACUAAUGGGAUUUGUAGCCUGUAGGCACGCUGAACGCUACGGGGCAUUGCACAUUACAAAGGCAAAAAUACACGGGAAUAGCUGUGGAUUGUGUACAUCGUGUUGAACAUGCCGUGUUGGAUGUAAAGCUUGCAAUGAAAACAAUGAUGACCAUAAUCAACAAUUAAUGCACUUAUCUGUGACUAUUAUACAUUACUAAAUUAUUAAAUAUGCCUAGGCUUUUCUUAACUACCUAUUUUAAGCUGUAGGAAAAUUGAGGCAGUUAGAUCCCAUGAGACUAGCGCUUACUUACUGCACGCACAAAAAUACCAGAAUUCAUUAACGAGUCGUGAAGAGAUUGUCCCAACAGAACACAGUAGGCUACCGGAGGUGAAUGUAGCUCGAUGGCGUGCGUCCUAUUUUCCUCGAUUAGGCGAUAAUAAAAUAAACUAAUGGAUUUUUGCGGUCAGUGAUCAUAGGUGGUAAUUGCUUGUUGACGGGAGUCGUGUAGUUUCAUUAAAGCGUUGCUACUUUCAGCUACGUGCAACCAGGAAUACAAACAAAAAUGAAGAUAACUUACAACCAAUAACAGCUAAUUCAGAGCAAAAUAUUUCUAGAGAAGCGAAGAGUCAUUCAGAUAUUUAAGACGUUCACCGCCUUUUAUGUAAUUAAAAUGCUCAUUACCGUGUUCACUGGAGCCCGCCACUGGGUUCUAUCCCACCAGUCUAUAUAGUCAGAUCUUUUUCUGUAAGAUUAUUAUUAUCCCAUCUAUUCACCACU